UACAGAGGGUGCAAACGUUGCUCGGAAUUACUGAACGUAAAGCACGUGUAGGCGGUUCGUUAAGUCGUCUGUGAAAUCCCACGGCUCAACCAUGGAAGUGCAGACGAUACUGGCAAACUCGAGUCCUGGAGAGGGUGGCGGAAUUCCCAGUGUAGAGGUGAAAUUCGUAGAUAUUGGGAGGAACACCGGUGGCGAAGGCGGCCACCUGGACAGGUACUGACGCUGAGACGCGAAAGCGUGGGUAGCAAACAGG
This 253-nucleotide ribosomal RNA is filed under the name uncultured bacterium. Its description in RNAcentral is "partial 16S ribosomal RNA". It matches the Rfam family "Bacterial small subunit ribosomal RNA", at positions 524 to 776 of the family's 1533-position model. The record is from RNAcentral.